UGCGCGGUUUGGUGGGAGAAAACUCUAGAACCUCGCGCCCCUCUCUCUCUCUCUCUCUCUCUCUCGCUCUAUACACUUCGCGCCCCUCUCUCUCUCUCUCUCUCGCUCUAUACACUUGAAGAGUGAACCGAAACAGUUCAGCUGGCAUUCAUCGCCUCCCUCCGCCUGCGUGCUCUGCGCCUGCCAGUCUCUCUCUCUAUCUCCCAAGGGGUGCUCUGAGGUAGGUCGAAUCUCUCCUCUCUCCUCUUCUCGAUGCUUCGAAACUGUGCGAGAAUCCUCGUUCGCGAUGCGAGACUAGCCCGUCGCUGUUCUGUCGUUUUCGUGUGGUCUGAAGCCGCUCGACCGGAGAUGGAGCCGUUGAUCUCCCGCCGGAGCUGGGUUGCCGACGGGAGCGCGAUCGUCGGAUCGUUCGCUCUUUCGGACCUUUCCUGUUUCGGCUUUGUUCUGUGGACAUCGUCGAUCCUCUAGAGAGAGAGAGAGAGAGAGCUCUGUGCAAGAUGAUCUCUGUUGUGCAGCUUGUUCAUGAUUCUUUAGUGUUUUCCAAAGUGAAUGCGGUGAAGCGUAUGACGGAAACCGUCACCGCAAGGGGCGAUCGAGUUACGCUCGUGCUCGAUAUGUUUCGUUUGCCACUGUAUCGAUCGCGUCGGGUGUUUUUCGAAGUGCGACUCGGCCGGCGAGAGCAUUGCCGACGCCGACCGCGGACUUAGUUUCUCGUUCGUCGCCUUUUGUGGUUG
This 734-nucleotide long non-coding RNA is filed under the name Eucalyptus grandis. RNAcentral describes it as "long non-coding RNA (EGRA_LNC005268)". The record is from RNAcentral. Lineage: Eukaryota; Viridiplantae; Streptophyta; Magnoliopsida; Myrtales; Myrtaceae.